UUGGAGGGCAAGUCUGGUGCCAGCAGCCGCGGUAAUUCCAGCUCCAAUAGCGUAUAUUAAAGUUGUUGCAGUUAAAAAGCUCGUAGUUGAAUUUCGGGAUCAAUAUGUUGGUCGUGCCUUUGGUACGUACUAGCUUAUUGAUUUCUCCCUUCUGACGAACCAUGAUGUCAUUAAUUUGGUGUCAUGGGGAAUCAGGACUGUUACUUUGAAAAAAUUAGAGUGUUUAAAGCAGGCUUACGCUUGAAUAUAUUAGCAUGGAAUAAUGAAAUAGGACGUUUUGAUUCUAUUUUGUUGGUUUCUAGGAUCGACGUAAUGAUUAAUAGGGAUAGUUGGGGGCAUUAGUAUUCAAUUGUCAGAGGUGAAAUUCUUGGAUUUAUUGAAGACUAACUACUGCGAAAGCAUUUGCCAAGGAUGUUUUCAUUAAUCAAGAACGAAAGUUAGGGGAUCGAAGACGAUCAGAUACCGUCGUAGUCUUAACCAUAAACUAUGCCGACUAGGGAUCGGAUGAUGUUAAUUUUUUAAUGACUCAUUCGGCGCCUUACGGGAAAC
Molecule: ribosomal RNA, 549 nt
Filed under: uncultured Glomus
Lineage: Eukaryota; Fungi; Glomeromycota; Glomeromycetes; Glomerales; Glomeraceae
Description: SSU rRNA
Rfam family: Eukaryotic small subunit ribosomal RNA
Source: RNAcentral